This 509-nucleotide ribosomal RNA is filed under the name Vibrio parahaemolyticus. RNAcentral's name for it is "bacterial SSU rRNA". It matches the Rfam family "Bacterial small subunit ribosomal RNA", at positions 375 to 876 of the family's 1533-position model. Lineage: Bacteria; Pseudomonadati; Pseudomonadota; Gammaproteobacteria; Vibrionales; Vibrionaceae. The record is from RNAcentral.
GCGCAAGCCUGAUGCAGCCAUGCCGCGUGUAUGAAGAAGGCCUUCGGGUUGUAAAGCACUUUCAGUCGUGAGGAAGGCGGCGUCGUUAAUAGCGGCGUUGUUUGACGUUAGCGACAGAAGAAGCACCGGCUAACUCCGUGCCAGCAGCCGCGGUAAUACGGAGGGUGCGAGCGUUAAUCGGAAUUACUGGGCGUAAAGCGCAUGCAGGUGGUUUGUUAAGUCAGAUGUGAAAGCCCGGGGCUCAACCUCGGAAUAGCAUUUGAAACUGGCAGACUAGAGUACUGUAGAGGGGGGUAGAAUUUCAGGUGUAGCGGUGAAAUGCGUAGAGAUCUGAAGGAAUACCGGUGGCGAAGGCGGCCCCCUGGACAGAUACUGACACUCAGAUGCGAAAGCGUGGGGAGCAAACAGGAUUAGAUACCCUGGUAGUCCACGCCGUAAACGAUGUCUACUUGGAGGUUGUGGCCUUGAGCCGUGGCUUUCGGAGCUAACGCGUUAAGUAGACCGCCUGG